This 327-nucleotide unclassified non-coding RNA is filed under the name uncultured fungus. RNAcentral's name for it is "partial contains 5.8S ribosomal RNA and internal transcribed spacer 2". The stretch from base 1 to 133 matches the Rfam family "5.8S ribosomal RNA", at positions 22 to 154 of the family's 154-position model. The record is from RNAcentral. Lineage: Eukaryota; Fungi.
UGGUUCUGGCAUCGAUGAAGAACGCAGCGAAAUGCGAUAAGUAAUGUGAAUUGCAGAAUUCAGUGAAUCAUCGAAUCUUUGAACGCACAUUGCGCCCGCCAGUAUUCUGGCGGGCAUGCCUGUUCGAGCGUCAUUUCAACCCCUCAGGCCCUAGUGCCUGGCGUCGGGGCCUUUCCGUCACCGGAAGCCCCUAGAGACAGUGGCGGACCCGCCGCGGCUCCGAGCGCAGUAGUAACUUUCUCGCUUAGGAGGUCCGUGGCAGGCCCCCGGCCGUAAAACCCCAUACAUCUCAAGGUUGACCUCGGAUCAGGUAGGAAUACCCGCUGA